UCCCUGGUGGCUCAGAUGGUAAAGCGUCUGUCUACAAUGCAGGAGACCCAGGUUUGAUCCCUGGGUUGGGAA
Molecule: transfer RNA, 72 nt
Organism: Ovis aries (sheep)
Lineage: Eukaryota; Metazoa; Chordata; Mammalia; Artiodactyla; Bovidae
Rfam family: tRNA
About the family: Transfer RNA (tRNA) molecules are approximately 80 nucleotides in length.
Source: Rfam